AUGAAAACUUUAAAUGGCCGCAGUACCCUGACUGUGCUAAGGUAGCAUAAUCAAUUGGCCUUUAAUUGAGGUCUGGAAUGAAUGGAUUUAUACGGAAGCCAGCUGUCUCUUUUUAGAGUUUGUUGAAGUUAUCUUUAAAGGUGAAAAGGCCUUUGUGUGUGAAAAUAGACGAGAAGACCCUAAGAGUUUUAAUUAUAAGUAAAGGUUUUUGCUUUAUUUUUGCUGGGGCGGCAAAGAAACAAAUUAACUUUCUUGGUAAAAUUAAUAAAGUUGACGCGAAUUUUAUGAAGAACUAAUAAACUACCUUAGGGAUAACAGCAUAAUUAUUUUAAUGUUUGUGACCUCGAUGUUGGACUAGGAAAGCUUUAACGGCUAGCCGCCGAAAGUAUUAUGUUCUGUUCGAACAUU
RNAcentral lists this ribosomal RNA (408 nucleotides) under Wallaconchis ater. RNAcentral describes it as "partial 16S ribosomal RNA". It matches the Rfam family "Archaeal large subunit ribosomal RNA", at positions 1989 to 2658 of the family's 2987-position model. The record is from RNAcentral. Lineage: Eukaryota; Metazoa; Mollusca; Gastropoda; Systellommatophora; Onchidiidae.